CCUACGGGGGGCAGCAGUCGAGAAUUUUUCUCAAUGGGGGAAACCCUGAAGGAGCGACGCCGCGUGGGGGAUGACUGGCUUCGGCCCGUAAACCCCUGUCAUUUGCGAACAAACCUUUUCCGAUAACACCGGAAGAGCUGAUUGUAGCGAAAGAGGAAGGGACGGCUAACUCUGUGCCAGCAGCCGCGGUAAUACAGAGGUCCCAAGCGUUGUUCGGAUUCACUGGGCGUAAAGGGUGCGUAGGCGGUCGGGUAAGUCUGAUGUGAAAUCUCCGAGCUCAACUCGGAAAUGGCAUUGGAUACUAUUCGGCUAGAGAGUCGGAGGGGGGACUGGAAUACUUGGUGUAGCAGUGAAAUGCGUAGAUAUCAAGUGGAACACCAGUGGCGAAGGCGAGUCCCUGGACGACUUCUGACGCUGAGGCACGAAAGCUAGGGGAGCAA
Molecule: ribosomal RNA, 440 nt
Filed under: uncultured bacterium
Lineage: Bacteria
Description: bacterial SSU rRNA
Rfam family: Bacterial small subunit ribosomal RNA
Source: RNAcentral